Molecule: ribosomal RNA, 428 nt
Filed under: uncultured bacterium
Lineage: Bacteria
Description: partial 16S ribosomal RNA
Rfam family: Bacterial small subunit ribosomal RNA
Source: RNAcentral
GUAGGGAAUAUUGCACAAUGGAGGAAACUCUGAUGCAGCGACGCCGCGUGAGUGAUGAAGGCCUUCGGGUCGUAAAGCUCUGUCGCAGGGGAAUAACACAAUGAAGUUACCCUGUAAGAAAGGAUCGGCUAACUUCGUGCCAGCAGCCGCGGUAAGACGAGGGAUCCUAGCGUUGUUCGGAAUCAUUGGGCGUAAAGCGGAUGUAGGUGGCUAUGUAAGUCAGAUGUGAAAGCCUGGGGCUCAACCCCAGAAGUGCAUUUGAUACUGCGUAGCUUGAGUGUCGGAGAGGUUACUAGAAUUGUUGGUGUAGUGGUGAAAUACGUAGAUAUCAACAGGAAUACCGGAGGCGAAGGCGGGUAACUGGCCGAACACUGACACUGAGAUCCGAAAGCGUGGGGAUCAAACAGGAUUAGAAACCCGGGUAGUCC